Molecule: long non-coding RNA, 843 nt
Organism: Amphiprion ocellaris (clown anemonefish)
Lineage: Eukaryota; Metazoa; Chordata; Actinopteri; Pomacentridae
Source: Ensembl
GUCCAUCAGUUUGGAUCGCUUCCAGCUGCUCUGCUAUAAAAACACUCUUCAGAUCAGGGCUGCCAGUCGGCCUUCAGCAGACUUGACGCUCUGAUUUCCCUUCACUCACAAACAUCAGGUUCUGUUGAUCCACGAUGCAGGUUCUGUUCAGAGCGGCGCUGCUACUGCUGCUGCUGAGCACCAGUGCAGCUGAACACUGUGACAUGCCCGAGAAAGUGCAGCCACAGCAGAUGGACAAGAUUAUGGAGUCUCGCUGGGUUCUGGUGGAGGCCUUCUCAGACUACCCACAAGGUAUAGACUUAGUGAGGUACGCCAACAGCUCGGUGGUGGAGGUAGAGACGAGAAGCGACAACAAAACCUUCCUGUUGGUGGAGAGGAACGUUGUGGGUGGAAAAUGUCUCAUCUUUCGUCUCAACAUGACGAUUCCUGAUCCCGAGAAGUCCAACCACACCAUGGAGCUGGUCGAGCCCGGUGAGUCACCAACAGACUGGAUGGACACAAAACUACACACAGAGACUCAAACUGACAAAAAGAGCCACAGAGAGCCACAAAACAACCACAAAAGGACACAAAACAAUUACACUGAGACAUAAUAAACCACAAAGAGAAACAAAAAACCAUGAGACACAAAACAACUACAGACACAAAACAAAGUGACCACAGGUCCUUGGAUUUAUACCUGCAAAAAAUCUUAAAAUCACACAAUAUGACCACAGAACAACCACAAAGCAACUACAAAGAGUUGCAAAACAAUCACAAAAUGACUGCAAAGACACAAGACGACCACAAGACACAACAUGACCACAAAAUGAUGCAAAGCAAGCACAAAGAGACACAAAAUGA